UACGUAGGGUGCAAGCGUUGUCCGGAAUUAUUGGGCGUAAAGAGCUCGUAGGCGGCUUGUCGCGUCGGCUGUGAAAACCUGGGGCUCAACCCCGGACUUGCAGUGGGUACGGGCAGACUAGAGUGUGGUAGGGGAGACUGGAAUUCCUGGUGUAGCGGUGAAAUGCGCAGAGUAUCAGGAGGAACACCGAUGGCGAAGGCAGGUCUCUGGCCACUACUGACGCUGAGAAGCGAAAGCAUGGGGAGCGAACAGG
Molecule: ribosomal RNA, 253 nt
Filed under: uncultured bacterium
Lineage: Bacteria
Description: partial 16S ribosomal RNA
Rfam family: Bacterial small subunit ribosomal RNA
Source: RNAcentral